This 75-nucleotide transfer RNA is filed under the name Mycolicibacterium phlei. RNAcentral's name for it is "tRNA-Pro(tgg)". It matches the Rfam family "tRNA". Rfam says of the family: Transfer RNA (tRNA) molecules are approximately 80 nucleotides in length. Their secondary structure includes four short double-helical elements and three loops (D, anti-codon, and T loops). Further hydrogen bonds mediate the characteristic L-shaped molecular structure. tRNAs have two regions of fundamental functional importance: the anti-codon, which is responsible for specific mRNA codon recognition, and the 3' end, to which the tRNAs corresponding amino acid is attached (by aminoacyl-tRNA synthetases). tRNAs cope with the degeneracy of the genetic code in two manners: having more than one tRNA (with a specific anti-codon) for a particular amino acid; and 'wobble' base-pairing, i.e. permitting non-standard base-pairing at the 3rd anti-codon position. Lineage: Bacteria; Bacillati; Actinomycetota; Actinomycetes; Mycobacteriales; Mycobacteriaceae. RNAcentral also lists the same sequence under 16 other names. The record is from RNAcentral.
CGGGGUGUAGCGCAGCUUGGUAGCGCAUCCGCUUUGGGAGCGGAGGGUCGCAGGUUCAAAUCCUGUCACCCCGAC